Molecule: ribosomal RNA, 431 nt
Filed under: uncultured bacterium
Lineage: Bacteria
Description: partial 16S ribosomal RNA
Rfam family: Bacterial small subunit ribosomal RNA
Source: RNAcentral
AACGAACGCUGGCGGCAGGCUUAACACAUGCAAGUCGAGCGCCCCGCAAGGGGAGCGGCAGACGGGUGAGUAACGCGUGGGAACGUACCUUUUGGUUCGGAACAACUCCGGGAAACUGGAGCUAAUACCGGAUAAGCCCUAACGGGGAAAGAUUUAUCGCCGAAAGAUCGGCCCGCGUCUGAUUAGCUAGUUGGUGAGGUAACGGCUCACCAAGGCGACGAUCAGUAGCUGGUCUGAGAGGAUGAUCAGCCACACUGGGACUGAGACACGGCCCAGACUCCUACGGGAGGCAGCGGUGGGGAAUAUUGGACAAUGGGCGCAAGCCUGAUCCAGCCAUGCCGCGUGAGUGAUGAAGGCCUUAGGGUUGUAAAGCUCUUUUGUCCGGGAAGAUAAUGACUGUACCGGAAGAAUAAGCCCCGGCUAACUUCGUG